RNAcentral lists this ribosomal RNA (313 nucleotides) under uncultured bacterium. RNAcentral's name for it is "bacterial SSU rRNA". It matches the Rfam family "Bacterial small subunit ribosomal RNA", at positions 28 to 334 of the family's 1533-position model. The record is from RNAcentral.
GAUGAACGCUGGCGGCGUGCCUAACACAUGCAAGUCGAACGGAAACAGAAUGAAACCUAGUGAUUUCUGUUUCAGUGGCGGACGGGUGAGUAACGCGUGGGUAACCUGCCUUGCACUGGGGGAUAACACUUAGAAAUAGGUGCUAAUACCGCAUAAGCGCACAAUACCGCAUGGUAGAGUGUGAAAAACUCCGGUGGUGCAAGAUGGACCCGCGUCUGAUUAGCCAGUUGGCGGGGUAACGGCCCACCAAAGCGACGAUCAGUAGCCGGCCUGAGAGGGUGAACGGCCACAUUGGGACUGAGACACGGCCCAA